AGCUCCAAUAGCGUAUAUUAAAGUUGUUGCAGUUAAAAAGCUCGUAGUUGGAUUUCUGGUGUGAUGCCCUGGCCCGUGCCUCAUUUGGUGCGUGUGCCGGCUGUGCGUCCGCCAUCCUUCUAGAAAACGUGCCUACUCUUCACUGAGACGGGCCACGCGAUCUAGAUCUUUUACUUUGAAAAAAUUAGAGUGUUUAAGGCAGGCUUUUGCUAUGAAUACAUUAGCAUGGAAUAAUAAUCUAGGACUUCGGUUCUAUUUUGUUGGUUUCUAGUACUGAAGUAAUGAUUGAUAGGGAUAGUUGGGGGUGCUAGUAUUGAGCGGCCAGAGGUGAAAUUCUUGGAUUCGCUCAAGACUAACUUAUGCGAAAGCAUUCACCAAGGAUGUCUUCUUUAAUCAAGAA
RNAcentral lists this ribosomal RNA (400 nucleotides) under phytoplankton environmental sample. Its description in RNAcentral is "partial small subunit ribosomal RNA". It matches the Rfam family "Eukaryotic small subunit ribosomal RNA", at positions 587 to 983 of the family's 1831-position model. The record is from RNAcentral.